This 22-nucleotide microRNA is filed under the name Spodoptera frugiperda (fall armyworm). RNAcentral's name for it is "sfr-miR-10471-3p". The record is from miRBase by way of RNAcentral. Lineage: Eukaryota; Metazoa; Arthropoda; Insecta; Lepidoptera; Noctuidae.
UAGGCCAAUCUGAACCCUGUAU